CAGAGUGACCAGGAAAAGCUGCUUGCACCCAAAAAAGAAGAUGAAACUCAGUGAGAUGGGUUUGGUGAAGUGGCUCAUGAUGAGAGGGACAGAGCAGCCGUCACCCCAGGCAGGGAUUCAGCCCCUCUGCUCUGUCCUGGCAGGGGCAGACAUGGCCCUUCUGCCCCAGACCAGAGGGACAGCAGCAGGCAAGAGGGCUGAUGGCCAUCUCUUCAACACCAGGAGAUUCAGGACCCACUCCAGAGGAUGUGGGAGGGCUGGCAUUCAGUCGGGCACGGGCAGGCUCAUCCCAUUCCUGGAACAUCCACCACUUUCUGCACAGGAAGAAAAUCCAGAACACAAACCCUGCAGCAGGGAUGCCCCAGCCACUGGCCUUCACACCCUGCUGCUGGUGGGAGGAAAGCCAGGCAGCAGGCAGCUUUGUGUCCUGCAAAGCACUGCAAAACUGGUUUAUAUUAAUAAUAAAGAGCACACAAUACCGAAGUGCUUGGGGUUUGUCUGUUAAUCUCUCAACAGUCAGCUGCAAAACUAACAAAUCCUCUGCGUCCCAGCUCAUUCCUCCCUGCCCCCUUUUACAGCUAAAAAUAAUCAAUAAUGGCUGGCCGAAACGGGGAGACCAAAGCAGUUUUAAAGGCUGCGGGAUCACGACUCGCACCUUCACCCCCACGCUGGCUGGGCACAAAACCCCCACGGGCUGUGUUUCCCAGCAGCCGCGGUGGAAACCACCUCCGAACCAGCGGGCACCGCACGGAGCUCCAGCAUCUUCUGCUUCUGCCGUGAUCCUGCAGUGCUGCUCUGCUGGUAAGGACUGGAAAUGAGAGUGAUGCAGCCGGGGGAGAGUGGCGUUAUCCUCCCUCCUUUAUGCGAUGAGGGCUGAUUGAACCUCUCGGGAGCAACGAGCCCCCGGGGAGGCAGCCGGGCUUGUUAUUCUGCUGCUGAUUGCGGGUUUCGGCUCCAUCGCAGCACCGGGACCUGCUCAGGGUGGCCCGGGGUGAUGGCAGCGGUGCCGGGGGAAUUUUCCAUCCCAAUCCCCAUCCGAAAGGUGAGCCCAGGCAGCUCACCCUGCUCAGGUGGGUCCAUCCUCUCUGGUGCACAUCUGCACGCAGCUGUUUCCCCUCGAAAAGCAGCAGCACCGAAGGAGAACCAAAACCAAACCAAAACCAAAAAAUCUAACCCGUUCUAACAGUCCGACCAUUCCCUCUGUGGCGACCACAUUUCACAGGCAACAAAACCCAGCAUUUCCCAGCCGGCUCGCUGCUCUGCUGGCUCCCACCGCCUCGGGGGAAGGGAGACAUCGCCCUGUGCCUCUGUGCUGGCACCGCCCUGGAAAAGCCCCGGGCCACCUUAGGGACUUUCCCAGCCCGGCACAAAAAUACCGUCCUAUUGCUCCCUCGUGCCCCAAGGCAGCCUGUCCUGGCCUAGGGAAGGUGGCGAUGCACAGGACAGGGACAAGGGACGGGCCAGCACCGCCCCACAUUUACUUUCGGGAUGACUGCGAUGCCCGGGGCUGAGGAACGCGGUUUGUCACCGGGGCCACCCCGCCCGCCACCGCCGCUUUCCUGCGGGGGAGGCGGCCACGACACUCCGCUGUUCCUCUCCGUGCUGGUUCGUUAUUGCACAGCUGGGGAAGAGCGAGGGGGAUCCUAAUUAGAAAUAAAACAGCUGCCACAAAGGCUGUGGCCAGAAUGAUGGGAUUUACUCCCUGCCUGCUCAGGAAUGGGGUGCCAAGGGGUGGCACGGAUCCUGGCCUGAUGCUGACACAGGACCAGCUGCACUUUGCCUGGGGCGGUCCCCGUUCCAGGCCGGCGUGGCUGGGUCUGCAAAGGGACAAACUGGAAGGUGCUGGAGAAAGGCAGCAGGGAUUGCUGGAGUGUGAAAAGGGAAAAAAAAAAAACCAAAACAAAAUAACAAAACCAAAGAAACUGGUGCUUUCAAGAUGAUACUGCAGUCAGGAAGUGGUUUAAGAAAUAGCAGAAGUUCAAAGUGAGAACAUGGCACCAGUUUUUCCUCCAGUGCUGUUAAUUACGUGUGGUUCUGGAGCAUGACGAUAGUUUCCACUUCCUGCUCUUGCUAAAGACUCUCACACAGAGCAGAAGUGAAGGCAAAUGUUGAAAAUCCAAGAAAUCAUAAAAAUGAGGACAAAUCCCAGCUCUGAAAGGCUGCAGGAGGCGCUGCUCUGUAAGCCCAUGCCGUGAAGCCGCUGGGGGACCAAAGGCAAUAAAAGAGAUGGAUUCUUCUUCCUGCUCUGUGCAGGGAGCAAAUGACUCCCAAAGACUGUGCCUGGCAGCACACCCUUCGAAAUCACCCAGACAUGAGCUGUGGUGCCUCCAGCUUCCAGCAAAAGUCAGGUAUUUUGAUGAAAACCCCGUGGGGAAUGGGUGCUCAGAAACAUUUGUGUGUGCUGGGGCUGUACAACAAAGCCAGUGGCAAAGCCCUGCCUGAUUUCAAGGCAGACAUGAGCUCAGCCUAAAUCCCAGCUGCUCUGUGCGUGCCUGCAGGGAGGAUGACUGGGCCCACGCUGGCAGCUGCCAUCACCCUCAGCAUCAGCUCUUGGAGAGAGAAUCAGAAAUACAUCCAAUUCCCCCAGUGACUGUGCCACAAACGUGAACAUCCCCUAACAUUGAGCUAUCGAAGGGGAACUUCCUCCCCCUUCAGCCUGAACUCUCUUUUAUUUCUGUUAAUGACUCCUCAUGAAGGAAUCCAGAUGUUAAAAACAGCAGUCAGGCCAAAAAGCUGGCCCGUGUCGGGUGUGUGACACUUCCCCUCUGUCCUGGCUGGCUGGGCUGGGAAGGAACAAAAACCAGCUGAGCAACAGAUUGCAUCGGCUGAACAACUGCCAGCAGCCACAGCAACUCACCAGCCAGAAAGAAAAAUCCCACCUGGAGCAAGCCAAAAUAAUUGUUGGUUUAAAAAAAAAAAAAAUAGACUGAGCAAGCAUUGCAACCUUUAAUGGCUCUGAAAAUCAACAUCAAAUUUUUAAAAAGGUAGUAAGAGGUGUGCUUGGAAAGGGGAUUUGUAAAAUAGUAACUUGGUCACCCCAGCGGAGUGCCACCCAUGCUGAGCCAGGGAGGAUCUCAUGCUGUAGAUAAUUCUGCAGGGCCCAGCUCAUCCAGCAACACACUGAUAGGGAUUUUCAACAAAUAGGUCUGCCUGCAGUGGAACAGGACCUUAAUAUCCCCUGGUGAGGCUGCUUGGUGGCUCUCAGCCACCAGCCCCCAUCAAAAACCCUCCUGGUUGGGGCAUUUGUGCCCAGCUGGGCUGAUUUGUACAAGGCUUUGAGGUCUCCAGCCCUGAUUUGGGUGGAAAUGGUUGACCUGCUGCCACCUGGCAGCCUGCUGGCCAUGGAGCACAGGGGCCGAGACAGUCAUCCUUUAAAUGCAGAAAUAAUUUGGCAGCUGGGCUUAUGGCAAAUGAUCCUAAUGAAAAGCAGCUGCCUCAUGCCUGUAAAUAGGAUUGUCUAUGCAGCAUUUUGGCCUAAUAGAGUAAAAUCAGAAGACAGGAAUUUUAUAUAGAAGAGUUGCAAUCUCAAAUCUUAAGCUCUACUGACACGCCAGCACCAUUGGUUAGAAGGGGAGGGUUUAGGAACAGUCAAAAAAACCUCAGCACAGAGAAGCCAGGGUACCUCAAACAGCUUUCAAUGCCCUCCCUUGCUUCCAGCCACUCUGUAAAACCCUCUAGUGAAAGACAGACUUUAUAUCACUCAAAUCUCUGCAAUCCCAAUCUUCCCUUGCUCUCCCAGGCUGGUUUCUCUGCCAGGCCCUUGUUGGCCUCCCCAGGCUCUUGCUGGUGGCUCAUCCCCAGCUGGGUUUGUGCUGAAUGACCACAGAGGAGCCCAGCUUAACCUUCCUCACUGAGCAGGCACGGAUCCAAAUGAAAACCUGGCUGUGACAUGAAGGCAGUGCAAGCUGAGGGGGUCUGUUGGGCUCUGCUGGAGGAUGCCAGGAUGGUGAAGGGUCUGGAGGAGAAGCUGUGUGAGGAGCAGCUGAGGUCACUUGGUCUGACCAGGCUGGACAAGAGGAGACUGAGGGGAGACCUCAGUGGAUCCUCCCAGUGACAGUGAUCCCAAAAUCGGCCAGAAAAUAAACUUCCCAACACAACUUGAAGCAUUACAAAGCAGGCAUUCUUUAACAGCACGGGACACAUAGGAGGAGAUCUCCUUCAAUCUGAGGUGUGUGGUGAGACUUUGCAGCAGGGUUUUUACUUCAUCAUAAUCAUACAUAUUCAUUACAAUGUGCCUCCUAGCUAAUACAUAAACAUCACUUUUCCUAGAACUAAUUUGCAGUCAUCAAUCUCCUACUGGAGAUUUUUAUGGUCCUGGAGAUUCAUGUAAAGGGGUCUCUGGUGGUUGUACUCACUGAAUCCUUCAAUAUUACGGGUGACCUUUCCUUCAACUUUUUCUUUGGGCAUGCACUGCUGCUUCUUGUUACAUAACUUACCAGAAACCCACUAUAGACCUCAUUAUCUGUUUCUGCACAUAUACAUUUUCAGGUACAUUUAUCAUCCUGAGUGCAUGCCUUUACAUUCUUUCAUCUUUUUUGCUAGUUAGUCUUUAGGCUCUGCCCAGCAAUGUCAGGGGAACUAAAAAUUUAUAUUCUCUAUGUUAUUUAUCAACAGGACUUGGGGAAAAGGUAUGAAGCUGAGUCAGGGGAGGUUUAGUUUGGUAUCAGGAAAAUCCAGUGCCUGAGUGUAAAAGAGCCCAUAAGUUUUUCCUGUGCCUCUGGCUCACUCCUGUUGAAGCCCCUCAUUUGCUUUUCCAGGCUACUCUCGAUUCUGUAGCCCUUUCCUCAGUCAUUCCUUCCCAAAUCCAAGACUUACACCUCACAAAGACUGAAGCUGCUAUGUGUGGUCUCCUUCUGCACCUUUUGCAGUUCCCCUCCGUCCUUUUGGGAUGAGGAAACCCAAACUGUGUGCAUAUUGAAAAUAUGGAUGGGCUGUGGAUUUACUCUAUGUCAGCCCAGUAAGAUAUGACACAGCUGCUAAGAGCACUUGGAGCUCUUCUAACUCUUUAUCCUGCUUCUUGAAUACCAAACUAUUUUUCCUCCAAGUGUAUGUUUAUAAAGAUUUUCAGAUCUCAACAUGAACAAAGAUUCCCUGGAGCUGAGGCUGGCAUCAUGCUGAGUCAUAUAUCAUUAUAAAAGACAAAUUCCAGACCCUGGGAUAUUCAGAAUAGAUCAAAAUAAAAGAAACUUGAGACGAAUUCAAAAAGUAGGUGGGAGGGAUGCUUAAUGUAAUGUUAAAGCAGCACCAGUUUAUUCAAGCAGAUGCCAGGAGACUAAAUGAAAGGCUGGUUGUUUUCUUCUGCAGUUUGUGCCCUUUCCUUUCACAGAUCUCCCUUCUGGGGAUAGAAACAAUAACAUCAGCUCUGGAGCACCAUGUUUAUCUGCUUACUCUCACAGAACUACACCCACACGGGUGAUCUGGCAUCUGUUUAGCCCCCAGAGAUAUGCAAGGUGUAAACACACAUCUGGAAAUAAACUAUCCAUGGGUUUUUCAAAACCACUGUGCUUCACUUGAAAUCACGGACAAGAUGCAGACAGAAGGGGGAAAAAAAGCCUCUAAAAUAUUUCGGUGCACCAGAUACAGGCAGG
Molecule: long non-coding RNA, 5588 nt
Organism: Taeniopygia guttata (zebra finch)
Lineage: Eukaryota; Metazoa; Chordata; Aves; Passeriformes; Estrildidae
Source: Ensembl